UACGGAGGGGGCUAGCGUUGUUCGGAAUUACUGGGCGUAAAGCGCACGUAGGCGGACUGUUAAGUCGGGGGUGAAAUCCUGGGGGUCAACCUCAGAAUUGCCUCCGAUACUGGCAGUCUCGAGUGCGGGAGAGGUGAGUGGAAUUCCCAGUGUAGAGGUGAAAUUCGUAGAUAUUGGGAAGAACACCAGUGGCGAAGGCGGCUCACUGGCCCGUAACUGACGCUGAGGUGCGAAAGCGUGGGGAGCAAACAGG
RNAcentral lists this ribosomal RNA (253 nucleotides) under uncultured bacterium. RNAcentral describes it as "partial 16S ribosomal RNA". It matches the Rfam family "Bacterial small subunit ribosomal RNA", at positions 524 to 776 of the family's 1533-position model. The record is from RNAcentral.